AGAGUUUGAUCCUGGCUCAGGGUUAACGUUGGCGGCGUGCCUAACACAUGCAAGUCGAACGGUUCUAAGCGCGAGCUUAGGAUAGUGGCGAACGGGUGAGUAAAAGGUAGGAAUCUACCCCUUGGACGGAGAUAGCUACUGGAAACGGUAGGUAAACUUCGAUAAGCCCGAGAGGGGAAAGUGGUGAGACAGCCGAGGGAUGAGCCUACUCUCCAUCAGGUAGUUGGUGAGAUAAAAGCUUACCAAGCCGAUGACGGAUAACCGGUGUGAGAGCAUGAACGGUCACAAGGGCACUGAGAGACGGGCCCUACUCCUACGGGAGGCAGCAGUGGGGAAUCUUGGACAAUGGGCGAAAGCCUGAUCCAGCGACGCCGCGUGGAGGAAGAAGUCCUUCGGGAUGUAAACUUCUGAACUAGCCGAAUAAAAGGCCUGUGGACACACAGGAGAAGAAAGUAGGCUAGGAAAAGUCCCGGCUAACUACGUGCCAGCAGCCGCGGUAAU
RNAcentral lists this ribosomal RNA (501 nucleotides) under uncultured bacterium. RNAcentral describes it as "bacterial SSU rRNA". It matches the Rfam family "Bacterial small subunit ribosomal RNA", at positions 8 to 524 of the family's 1533-position model. The record is from RNAcentral.